GGAGCGGAUGAGGCCUGGUGGCCUCUGCGGACUUCAACUCCGUUGGUGGCAGUCCUUCGACUGGCAUGGUGGGUUCGACUCCCUCGCGCUCCC
This 93-nucleotide transfer RNA is filed under the name marine eukaryotic metagenome. Its description in RNAcentral is "Selenocysteine transfer RNA". It matches the Rfam family "Selenocysteine transfer RNA". The record is from RNAcentral.